This 420-nucleotide ribosomal RNA is filed under the name Fusobacteriota bacterium. Its description in RNAcentral is "Fusobacteria bacterium partial 16S ribosomal RNA". It matches the Rfam family "Bacterial small subunit ribosomal RNA", at positions 355 to 776 of the family's 1533-position model. The record is from RNAcentral. Lineage: Bacteria; Fusobacteriati; Fusobacteriota.
UGGGGAAUAUUGCACAAUGGACGGAAGUUUGAUGCAGCGACGCCGCGUGGAGGGUGUAGGCCUUCGGGUUGUGAACUCCUUUUUCUCGCGAAAAAGGCACAGUUUUGGCUGUGUUGAUGGUAGUGGGGGAAGAAGCGCCGGCUAACUACGUGCCAGCAGCCGCGGUAAUACGUAGGGCGCGAGCGUUGUCCGGAUUUAUUGGGCGUAAAGAGCUCGUAGGUGGUUCGUCGCGUCUGUCGUGAAAGCCAGCAGCUUAACUGUUGGUCUGCGGUGGGUACGGGCGGGCUUGAGUGCGGUAGGGGUGACUGGAUUCCUGGUGUAGCGGUGGAAUGCGCAGAUAUCAGGAGGAACACCGAUGGCGAAGGCAGGUCACUGGGCCGUUACUGACACUGAGGAGCGAAAGCGUGGGGAGCGAACAGG